Molecule: ribosomal RNA, 465 nt
Filed under: uncultured Klebsiella sp.
Lineage: Bacteria; Pseudomonadati; Pseudomonadota; Gammaproteobacteria; Enterobacterales; Enterobacteriaceae
Description: bacterial SSU rRNA
Rfam family: Bacterial small subunit ribosomal RNA
Source: RNAcentral
CCUACGGGCGGCAGCAGUGGGGAAUAUUGCACAAUGGGCGCAAGCCUGAUGCAGCCAUGCCGCGUGUGUGAAGAAGGCCUUCGGGUUGUAAAGCACUUUCAGCGGGGAGGAAGGCGGUGAGGUUAAUAACCUCAUCGAUUGACGUUACCCGCAGAAGAAGCACCGGCUAACUCCGUGCCAGCAGCCGCGGUAAUACGGAGGGUGCAAGCGUUAAUCGGAAUUACUGGGCGUAAAGCGCACGCAGGCGGUCUGUCAAGUCGGAUGUGAAAUCCCCGGGCUCAACCUGGGAACUGCAUUCGAAACUGGCAGGAUAGAGUGUUGUAGAGGGGGGUAGAAUUCCAGGUGUAGCGGUGAAAUGCGUAGAGAUCUGGAGGAAUACCGGUGGCGAAGGCGGCCCCCUGGACAAAGACUGACGCUCAGGUGCGAAAGCGUGGGGAGCAAACAGGAUUAGAUACCCUAGUAGUC